GAUGAAGAACGUAGCGAAACGCGAUAUGUAAUGUGAAUUGCAGAAUUCAGUGAAUCAUCGAAUCUUUGAACGCACAUGGCGCCUUCCAGUAUCAUGGGAGGCAUGCCUGUCCGAGCGUCGUUUCAACCCUCGAGCCCCCGUGGCCCGGCGUUGGGGAUCUGCCACGGCAGGCCCCUAAAACCAGUGGCGGACCCGAAGGCCCUCUCCUUUGCGCAGUAGCAUCAGCCUCGCAUUGGGAUCCCUCGGCGUCCUGCCUCUAAACCCCCCACAAGUCCGCUCCGGCGGCACCAAGGUUGACCUCGGAUCAGGUAGGAAUACCCGCUGAACUUAAGCAUAUCAAUAAGCGGAGGA
RNAcentral lists this unclassified non-coding RNA (351 nucleotides) under soil metagenome. Its description in RNAcentral is "partial contains 5.8S ribosomal RNA, internal transcribed spacer 2, and large subunit ribosomal RNA". The stretch from base 1 to 120 matches the Rfam family "5.8S ribosomal RNA", at positions 35 to 154 of the family's 154-position model. The record is from RNAcentral.